UGAGGUCUGAGGAAGCUGAAGGGGUUGGGAUACUUGGGGAUUGAUGGUGGGGCUGCAAUGCAGGGGGCGUCUGUGGACAGCCUGGUGGGUAUUGGGUCCUCAUGGGGUGAACCCCUUCUCACCCCACCCCCCCACUUUCCCCAGGCAUCCUGGAGACAGACAUCACCUUCCUCCUCAUCUUCAUUUCUUCGUUGUCAUCUUCUCAUUAUUCAUCAGGGGAUACCAACAGGGGCUGUACUGGAAGCUGAAGUGCUCCUGACUGGACAUGGGUGGCAGAAAAACUCCAUUGUUGCUGGCCUAGAGGCUCCAUGUAUCCUUGGCAUAGAUCACCUCAGGAGAGAGGACCCUUCUGCUGUGGGACUGCUGAGGGUUGAAGAAAAGCAGGUACUGAUGGCCAGCACAAGUGUCCCAUUGGCAACGUGGCACCGACUGGGACUUCAGGACCCCAUCCAUGAGCUGAUCCAUGAACUGGAGAGCUGGGUGUGCUCAGCAAGACUCACUCACCCUUCAGCAGCCCCGCAUGGCCUCUGCCUGAGUCCCGUGGAGAGCAGACACUGACAGUGGACUGUCAUGGCCUGAAUGAACUCACACCAUCACUGAGUGCUGCCAUGCUGGACAUGUUGGAACUUCAGUAUGAGUGAUGCCACAGCAGAGGAAGCUUUUGAGAAAGGAGAUAAGAUACCCAGAUCCUCCUGAAGGCUGGUUUUGCAGGGUAAAAUCAAGGGACCUGCCCAGAGGUUAAGUUUUUAGAAGUGAAAUAGCAAGAUGGAUGCUGUCAGAUUCCAGUGGUUGUGGUCAACAAAAUAGCAGCCAUGUCCUCAGUGACCAACAGGAAGGAAACACAGGCUUUCCUGGCACUGUGGUAUUUUGGAGAAGUUACAGUCAGAUUGUAAACCCUCUCUAUUAUGUGACAUGGAAGAAGAUUGAUUUCAAGUGGGGUCCUUAACAGCAACAAGCUUUUGAACAAAUUAAAGAGGAGAUUGUUCCAACAGUAGCUGUUGGACCAGUCAGGAAAAGGACAGGAUGUGGAAGAUGUGCUCCAUGCUGCAGCCAGGGAGAAUGGUCCAUCCUGGAGCCUCUGUCAGAAGGGACCUGAGGAAGUUAAAGGACCACCCUAUGGUUCUUGAGUCUGGGAUACAAAGGAUCAGAGACCAGCUAUAGUCCUACACCACACUACAAAUACUGUCAGCUUAUGAGGAGGUUCCAUCUGUUUCAGAAGUGAUUGGCACCAAAACACAGCUUCCACUGGCACCCAACUGCCAGUGCUGGGCUGGAUGUUCAAAGGGAAAGGGAUCUUGGAAGUCAUUACAAGCUUCUCCCAGAGGCAAAAAUUUCAGAUUAUCAUCAGAAGAGGAGGAGGUGAAGCUGGCACAUGCUAAGGAGGCUCUGGUUACCAGAAAAUGAGAAGCAUCACUCUUUCUUUAGUGAUGAUUCCUGCCUUAUUGUAGGGAUGCAUCAAAAGCUGCUGUAUGGAGUCCUACAUGACAGUUUGUGGAAGCCACUGAAGGACAAGGUGGAUCCAGUCAGAUUACAGACCUUAAAGCUUAAAGCCGUCUAGCUGGCUUUGGGUAUGGCUGAAUAAGAGAAGUGGCCCACACUCUGCCUCUGUACUGACUCAUGGAUGGUGGCAAAUGCUCUGUGGAGGUGGCUGGAAUGAUGUAAGAAGGACAGUUGGCAGUAAAGAGGGACACCCAUUGGGGCUGCUGGACUGGGGCAAGACAUCACUGCCCAGGUGUAGAAGUUGGCUGUGAAAGUCCCUCCUGUGGGUGCUCACAGAUCCAAGAGUCGGGCACUGAAGAGCAGCCCAACAAUGGACAGGGGGAUCGGGCUGCCAGGGUUAAAGUGUCUCAGGUGGGUCUGGACUGGUCACACAGGGGUGAGAUUUUUCUGGCUCAGUGGGUUCAUGAUGCCUCAAGGUAUUGGAACUGACAAUGGUCAAAUAAGAGAUUUUUUAGGCUUCAGGCAUUAGCUUGAGCCUGUGUGAAACUAAGUCACACAAAGUUC
Molecule: non-coding RNA, 2004 nt
Organism: Pseudopodoces humilis (Tibetan ground-tit)
Lineage: Eukaryota; Metazoa; Chordata; Aves; Passeriformes; Paridae
Source: RefSeq, a predicted model, not a curated record